UAUCCAGAAUGGAAAAUUAUUGUCUACCACUGAUUUUUAUAUAACUAUUAACUUGUAGGCAGUUAUCUGUUUGGAUGGUGAUGGUUGCAAGUUAAGAAGUGGACUGGUGAAAAUCAAGGAAGGUUUAACUCUUGACACGUUAAUUGCUUGUGAUUCAUGUGAUCUUUGCAAGAUGACUCUCAUGCACCAUCUCUGCAAGAAAUUUCAGCCACUUGAAGGUCAAAUCCAUAAAAAAUGCUUCGAUCAUAGUCGAAUGUGAAAGGUUCAGUGACCCCAUCAGGGACCGACACUCAAAUCGAGCCGAAGAGCCCGGCUUCUCUUUGCAUUCCAUAGUGUGCAUGGUAAAGGUAUGUUCCUGGCUGCAAUAUGUUUAAAGGAGUAAAGGUGAUUUAGAGACCUUACUAAUCCAAUCCUCAAUUACAAAGAUAACAAGCUGUAUGAUAGCCAUGGCAUAUAUUGCUGUAUGCAAUGGAGAGCGUUCAAAUCACUGACCUGAUUCUGGAUGGAGCAGAACCAAAGUAAGUUAUAUGG
Long non-coding RNA from Magnolia sinica, 531 nucleotides. RefSeq lists it as uncharacterized. The record is from RefSeq and is a predicted model, not a curated record. Lineage: Eukaryota; Viridiplantae; Streptophyta; Magnoliopsida; Magnoliales; Magnoliaceae. The transcript has 3 exons.